Molecule: ribosomal RNA, 1275 nt
Filed under: Triticum aestivum (bread wheat)
Lineage: Eukaryota; Viridiplantae; Streptophyta; Magnoliopsida; Poales; Poaceae
Description: partial small subunit ribosomal RNA
Source: RNAcentral
AUGGGUUCUCCUUCCGCUGGCGCCAUGACUUCCUCAGCCAUGACCUCCCUUGCUCUACCGGCUUCCCUCUCGGCGUCAUCCACCUCUUCCGUUCCGCCUCCCUCUGCUAGCCUCAUCACGGCCAAACUCACCAUCUCCAACUACCUCCUGUGGAAAGCACAGAUUCUUCCUCCUCUCUGCAUCGCCAAUGUCACCGGCUACGUCGAUGGCACUUCUCCCAGUCUCCCUCGGCUCCUUCCACCUGAUGACAAGGGGGAACGUGCGCUCAAUCCCGAGUAUGAUGUCUGGUACCGUCAGGACCAGAUUUUUCUUAGCUACCUGCUCGCCUCCCUCGCGGAUGAUGUUCUCCAGCAGGUUAUUCGCUUUGACACCUCUCGCGCCAUCUGGGCGCAUCUUGAGGAGACGUAUUCUGCCAAUUGUCGUGCUAGUGUUGUGCAGAUCAAGCUUGACAUGGCCAAAUUCCGCAAGGCCAACCUCUCCAUGGUGGAUUACUUCGCCAAGAUCCGCUCCUACGUCGACCAGCUAGCGGUUGCUGGGCGUCCCAUGCGGGAUGACGACAUCAUCACCGCCGUCAUCACCGAUCUUGAUAGCGACUAUGAGCCUCUCAUUACUGCUGUUACGACCCGGAUCGAUGAGAUGACUCUGGGGGAGCUCUACUCCCACGCUCUCUCCUUCGAGCGUCGCCGCGAGUACCAUGUUGCUCGCCUUCAUCUUCACGUCGGCGGCUCUUCUCUCAACUACGUCGCCCGCGACAAGAACGGCAACAACAACAACAACCGCGGUGGCAACCGUAGCAACUACCGUGGCAAGGGCCGCGGUAUUCAAGGUGACCGCGGUGACUACGACAACAACAACCGCGGUGGCAAUCGCGGUGACCGCGGUGGCAAUCGCGGUGACCGCGGCGGCAAUCGCCAGCAGGGUGACUACGGUGGUAACCGUGGUGGUGGUGACCGUGGUGACUACGGGGGUGGUGCUGACACCCGCAUCCAAUGCCAACUCUGUCGUGGCCCCGGGCACUAUGCCUGGGAAUGUGGGCAACGCUACAAUCAUGCGUUUCAACCCCAACACUCCAAGAUGGCCGGCCUGGCGGCUGCUUCUCCGCCGUCUAUCCUCGGUGAACCGACCUGGUUCACUGACACGGGGGCGUCCGACCACAUCACCUCAGAUCUGGAUCGCCUCACCAUAAGGGAGAAGUACCCGAGGAGGGACCGCAUCCACACCGCCGACGGCUCAGGAUUUGAUCACCAAGAGGGUCCUUCUUCAAGGCAGAUGUGA